This 1825-nucleotide long non-coding RNA is filed under the name Homo sapiens (human). RNAcentral describes it as "HSALNT0327172". The record is from RNAcentral. Lineage: Eukaryota; Metazoa; Chordata; Mammalia; Primates; Hominidae.
GGAGGGUGAGGGCUCCAGCAUGGCAGGCUGCAGGUCCCGAGCCCUGCCCCCUUGCCCCGCGGGGAGGUGGCUGAGGCCCAGCGAAAAUUCGAGCGCGGCGCCGGCGGGCCAUCACUGUUGGAGGACCCAGUGCACCCUCCGCAGCUGCUGGCCCGGGUGCUAAGCCUCUCACUGCCCAGGGCCGGCGGCGCCAGCCGACCGCUCAACAGUGCGGGGCGCGCCGAGCCCGCGCCCACCCGGAAGUCGCGCUGAGCCCGCGCCCACCCGGAAGUCGCGCUGGACCUGCGAGCACCGCAGGCAGCCCAGGUUCCGGCCCGCGCCUCUCCCUCCACACCUCCCCGCCAGCAGAGGGAGCCCGCUCAGGCCUCAGCCAGCACAGAGAGGGGCUCCCACGGUGCAGCUGCGGGCUGAAGGGCUCCUCAAGCGCGGCCAGAGUGGGCUGAGGCCGAGGAGGCGCCGAGAGCCAGCGAGGGAUGCCAGCAAGCUGUCACCUCUCAGAAAUACAGGAAGAACAUCAAUAAUGUUCGAAGUUAUAAAGUAUUGCGGAGGUCAGAGGUCAGAAAACAAGGUGUCUGCAGGACCAACCUCUCCUCUGGAUGCUCUAGGAAACGAGUAGAAUUAAGUGAAUUGAUUAUCAUAUCUAACCUAAUGAAUUGGGAGAUAGCCGUGGGCAUUAAAACUGUUUCAAGAAGUGCAACUUAGCGUUCAGGGCUGACCUCAUGAGCUUCCAGAGACAUCAGAGUGUUGAAAUUUCCAGGAUGCAAAACGAAGGGGCAAUUCAAAACAUUCAUCUCCACUUCUCAAAAUAAGCGGGCGAUGGACAUUAGAAUGCAAGAGAUGGAUGAGGUAUGGAAGUAGAAGGAAUAAAUGUCAACUAUUAUUUUAAAACAUUUGCACAGAAAGCAAAGUAGGAUAAGAGCUUAAAAAUAAAGGUUCUGUUUAUUUUCAUUUUGUAGUCGUAGGGAAAAUGUGGGCAUGUUAAAAGAAAAGCUGAGUGUAAAAAGGGAAUGAGAGGACAAAUUGAAAUAGACAUGGGUUCAAAUCCCAGAUCCCACUGGACAUCUCUGAGGCUUACUAGACAUCAUCUGUAAAUAUAAGAUAAACACCUAAUAUAAAAUGUGUUCAGCUAUAAGAAGUUUGAGUUAGUGUAUAUGAUUUUUAGAAAAUCAAUUUAUCAUAUACAAUAAAACAUAUAUUAAAUUAGACAGUUUGAUGCAUAUUGACAAUUGUAUAUCCCCUGCACAUUUCCAUCAUAUAUGAAAACUUCUCACAUGCCCUCACCAUCUCAAUCCCUGAUCACAGGCAACCACUGAUGGAGGUUCUGUCAUUAUGUACAGGAUAUAUCUUUUCUAAAUUUUGUAUAAGUGACAUCAUACAUGUGCAUUAUUUUGUUUCUGUCUUCUUUAUCUCAGCAUCUUGUUUUUUGAAAUUUGUUCUUAUUGAGUACAUCAGUGGUCAGCUCCUUAUUAUUGCUUAGUGUAUUUCAUUUUAAAAGUAUAAUUAUUACAUAUUGUGUGGAAAGAUUUAAACAUUCAGAAAAUAUAAAACUCAGUGCAACUAUUUUUUCCUACUCUUCAUGUAUUAUAAUUCAGUCUUUUUGAUAAUUUUAUAUAUAUAGAAGGUAUGAUAUUUAUAUUACAUUUAAAAUUUAGUACAACUUUUAUUAAAGUGUACAUAUUAUUUAUACAAUGCUUUUUUCUUUUCUAUAUCUAUACAGCUUACCCAUUUUUGAGAAGGCUGCAUUUUUUUCUAUAACAUGUAUAUGUUGUACUUUACUUGUCUAUAUCCCCAUUAAGAGAUAUGUUGCUUCCAGGUUUCAUUAUUA